CAUUGGUAUCUCCAGGUUAAAUGCACUUUUUCACAGGUUGGGAUCGCUGUGGUUGAGACUCCUGCCAGGGGCUGCCUGGCACUGCCCUAUGUCCCCAUGUGAAGGCACUGACACCGCUGGAGGCUCUGAGCUACCACUUCUACUAUCCAUCUUCUGGAUAUCUUUACAGGCUUGAGCCCACAGUGGGCCCUCUCCUUUCAUCUUUUAUUACCGGCAUUUUUACCAGGAUGACAUUUUGACUGGUCUGGGAAAUCUUCUCACCCGCCACACUGCUUCCUGACAAUCAAGAUUUAAUCUUU
Molecule: long non-coding RNA, 299 nt
Filed under: Chrysolophus pictus (golden pheasant)
Lineage: Eukaryota; Metazoa; Chordata; Aves; Galliformes; Phasianidae
Description: lncRNA (ENSCPIG00010001963.1)
Source: RNAcentral